Molecule: ribosomal RNA, 497 nt
Filed under: uncultured bacterium
Lineage: Bacteria
Description: partial 16S ribosomal RNA
Rfam family: Bacterial small subunit ribosomal RNA
Source: RNAcentral
GAUGAACGCUGGCGGCGUGCCUAAUACAUGCAAGUCGAGCGAACGGACGAGAAGCUUGCUUCUCUGAUGUUAGCGGCGGACGGGUGAGUAACACGUGGAUAACCUACCUAUAAGACUGGGAUAACUUCGGGAAACCGUAGCUAAUACCGGAUAAUAUUUUGAACCGCAUGGUUCAAAAGUGAAAGACGGUCUUGCUGUCACUUAUAGAUGGAUCCGCGCUGCAUUAGAUAGUUGGUAAGGUAACGGCUUACCAAGGCAACGAUGCAUAGCCGACCUGAGAGGGUGAUCGGCCACACUGGAACUGAGACACGGUCCAGACUCCUACGGGAGGCAGCAGUAGGGAAUCUUCCGCAAUGGGCGAAAGCCUGACGGAGCAACGCCGCGUGAGUGAUGAAGGUCUUCGGAUCGUAAAACUCUGUUAUUAGGGAAGAACAUAUGUGUAAGUAACUGUGCACACCUUGACGGUACCUAAUCAGAAAGCCACGGCUAACUACGUG